GGGGGGACCUGAGGGAAUGAGGACCCUGGGAGAUACUGGGUGCUGGAGUUUGCAUGCCAGGACCGAGUGUCCUUCUGGGGCAGGAAUGGCGUGGCCCUGUAGGUCGGGGGACUGCCUUUGCUCAGUCCUUUGGGUGUUUCAGGAAGUUCAACUAGCCCCAGGGCAGUAGGCAACCAAGGGAAACCCAGGAGGGAGGAGAGAAUCUGGAAACAGGUGUUGGGAGAGGAGGCAGGGGUAGCAGGAGGGAGGCCUAGAGGGACCUAGGGGAAAUUGUACUCAGUAAUCACUCUGGCACAGGCCUGGGGCUGGACCUCUCUACAAAUUAACUCACUUCAUUGAGAAGUGCUAUUAUGAGCCCCACUUCAUACAGGCUGAAACCAAGGCAUAGAAAGACAAGUUAAUUUUCCAGAAG
This 412-nucleotide long non-coding RNA is filed under the name Marmota monax (woodchuck). Lineage: Eukaryota; Metazoa; Chordata; Mammalia; Rodentia; Sciuridae. The record is from RNAcentral.